AGUCGCCGCGGUAAUACGGAGGGUGCAAGCGUUAAUCGGAAUUACUGGGCGUAAAGCGCACGCAGGCAGUCUGACAAGUCAGAUGUGAAAUCCCCGGGCUUAACCUGGGAACUGCAUUUGAAACUGUCAGGCUGGAGUCUUGUAGAGGGGGGUGGAAUUCCAGGUGUAGCGGUGAAAUGCGUAGAGAUCUGGAGGAAUACCGGUGGCGAAGGCGGCCCCCUGGACAAAGACUGACGCUCAGGUGCGAAAGCGUGGGGAGCAAACAGGAUUAGAUACUCCUGUAGUCCCUGUCUCUUAUACC
RNAcentral lists this ribosomal RNA (301 nucleotides) under uncultured bacterium. RNAcentral's name for it is "partial 16S ribosomal RNA". It matches the Rfam family "Bacterial small subunit ribosomal RNA", at positions 510 to 808 of the family's 1533-position model. The record is from RNAcentral.